Non-coding RNA from Podarcis lilfordi (Lilford's wall lizard), 69 nucleotides. Lineage: Eukaryota; Metazoa; Chordata; Lepidosauria; Squamata; Lacertidae. The record is from the annotation of a GenBank genome assembly.
GCUGUAGCUCGGUGGUGGGGCAUCUGCCUUGCAUGCAGAAGGUUGUAGGUUCAAUCCCCAGCAUCUCCA